AUAUAUUAUCGGAUAGUAAUUAUUUUAAGGUUUGUAAAAUUUAUGGUUUUAGUAAAAAAAUUUGUUAAAAUGUUUGUAUUGUGAAAGAAUUUUUGUUUGGUUAGCGAGAGAGAAAAUAUAUAUUAUUUUAAGAAUGUUUAAAGCUUGUACUUUUUGGAUAAUGGUUUGUAGAGAGUAUUAUAAUAUUUGUGUUCUUGAAAACUUUAGAGCUAUUAUUUUUUUAUUUUUUGUGGCAAAAAAAAGUAAUAAGAAGAUAAUAGAGAUGAAAUGUUUGUCGAAAAAGUUGAUAGCUAGUUUAGAAAUAAACAUAUUUUAGUAUGGGGUACAUUUAAUAAUUUUUUUUUGAAAUUAUUAUUUAAUGUUUACUCAGGUCUUAAGGGGUAAGCUUUAAGGCUUUGAAUGUUUAAAUUUAGUUAAGUGAGAUUAGUGUUGUUUAUCUUUUAGAUUUUGUAAAAAAAUUAUUUGUUAAAAUGAAUUAUUUUAUUAUUUCUAUAAUUAUAAAAAUUUUUUGUAAUUAGAUUAGUAUAAAAUUAGUAAUAAUGAGUUAAAUGGUUAAAUAAAAAUUUUUAUCGUAAAAUUAAAAUAUUAUAAUAUUUUGUUGAAAUUUUGAUUUAUUUAGUUAAUUUUAAUUAAGUUAAAAUUAAAGUUUGUUUAUAUUUAUGUUAAAGGAACUCGGCAAAAAUUUCUUAUGCCUGUUUAUUAAACACAUGGUCUUUUGUUUUUAUGAUAUAAAAGAUCGUACCUGCCCUGUGAUUUUAUAAUUUAACGGAUGGAUUUGUGUUAAAGUAGCACAGUAAAUAGCCCUUUGAUUGAGGGAGUGGAAUGAAUGGUUUGACAUAAGGAUUCUGUCUUUAGGAUAAUGUAAUAGAAAUUCCUUUUUAAGUGAAAAAGCUUAAAUAUUUGUAAAAGACGAGAAGACCCUAUCGAACUUAAUUAUUAUUAAAUAAUAUAAACCAUGUUUUAAUUAUUAUUUUAUAUUUAAGUAUAAUUGUGUAGUUUUAUGUGUGUAGUGUAAAAGAUAUUUAUUAAAAAUUUUUAUUGGGGCAAUUAAAAUAUGAAACCAUAUUUUUGUUUUAUUAUAGACCCUAUAAGAUGGCCUUAAGCAAAAGUUACCGUAGGGAUAACAGCGUAAUUCUUUUUGAGAGAUCUUAUUGAGAAAAGAGUUUGCGACCUCGAUGUUGAAUUAAGGAAACUUUUCGGUUGCAGAAGCUGAAAUAGUGAAACUGUUCGUUUUUUAAUUCUUUACAUGAUUUGAGUUAAAUUCGGCGUAAGCUAGAGUGGUUUCUAUCUUUAUUUAUGAGUCUUUAUUGUACGAAAGGAUUUGAAGAUUGAGUGAAAACUUUUUAAAUAGUUUAAUGUUUACUUUUU
RNAcentral lists this ribosomal RNA (1368 nucleotides) under Cyclina sinensis. Its description in RNAcentral is "16S ribosomal RNA". The stretch from base 1120 to 1279 matches the Rfam family "Archaeal large subunit ribosomal RNA", at positions 2544 to 2703 of the family's 2987-position model. The record is from RNAcentral. Lineage: Eukaryota; Metazoa; Mollusca; Bivalvia; Venerida; Veneridae.